RNAcentral lists this ribosomal RNA (392 nucleotides) under Monstrilla sp. Its description in RNAcentral is "partial small subunit ribosomal RNA". It matches the Rfam family "Eukaryotic small subunit ribosomal RNA", at positions 587 to 975 of the family's 1831-position model. Lineage: Eukaryota; Metazoa; Arthropoda; Copepoda; Monstrilloida; Monstrillidae. The record is from RNAcentral.
AGCUCCAAUAGCGUAUAUUAAAGUUGUUGUGGUUAAAAAGCUCGUAGUUGGACUUCGGCGAGAGACAGAGACGCACAUUCUUUGAUGUUGCGGAUUUGUUGACUCGUGAAUUUUAUGAUGGAGGUUCGUAGGUGCUCUUAAACGAGUGUCUUCGGAUGCCAUCAGGUUUACUUUGAAAAAAUUAGAGUGCUCAAAGCAGGCUUGACACGCUUGAAUAUUUGUGCAUGGAAUAAUAGAAUAGGACGUCGUUUCUAUUUUGUUGGUUCUCGGAAAUCGACGUAAUGAUUAACAGGGACAGUCGGGGGCAUUAGUAUUCAGACGUCAGAGGUGGAAUUCUUGGACCGUCUGAAGACUAACAACUGCGAAAGCAUUUGCCAAGAAUGUUUUCAUUA